RNAcentral lists this ribosomal RNA (408 nucleotides) under uncultured bacterium. RNAcentral's name for it is "partial 16S ribosomal RNA". It matches the Rfam family "Bacterial small subunit ribosomal RNA", at positions 28 to 526 of the family's 1533-position model. The record is from RNAcentral.
GACGAACGCUGGCGGCGUGCUUAACACAUGCAAGUCGAACGAAGUGGCGAACGGGUGUGUAUUACGUGUGUAACCUGCCCUCCUUUUUGGGUUAAGCCUUGGAAACGGGGUCUAAUACCGAAUAAAGGGGGAUGGGCUCGCGGCCUAUCGGCUUGUUGGUGGGGGGAGGGCCUACCAGGGCGACGACGGGUCGCCGGCCUGGGAGGGGGAACGGCGACAUGGGGCAUGAGAUACGGCCCAAACGCCUACGGGAGGCAGCAGUGGGGAAUAUUGCACAAUGGGGGAAACCCUGAUGCAGCGACGCUGGGUGCGGGAUGACGGCCUUCGGGUUGUAAACGGCUUUCGGUCAAGACGCGGUAGUGGCAGAAGAAGCACCGGCUAACUACGUGCCAGCAGCCGCGGUAAUUC